AUACAAAUCACCUGGGGAUCUUAUUAAAAGGAAGAUUCUGACUCAAUAGAUCUGAAGAGAGGCCUGAGUGUCUUCUAACAAGCUCCCAGGUGACGUCCAG
This 100-nucleotide microRNA precursor is filed under the name Marmota monax (woodchuck). Lineage: Eukaryota; Metazoa; Chordata; Mammalia; Rodentia; Sciuridae. The record is from RNAcentral.